UUAGUUACUUUCUUUCCUCCUGUAGUCAUCUUUUAUUCCUUUAUUCCUCAUUUCCUUGCCUCUAUCCUUCCACGUUCCCUUCUUUUCCUCCCUGCUCCUUCUGUUCUCUCCUCUUUAAUGAUUUCUUUCCUUCUUUCUUCCUUUUUUUCAUCCAAUACCUGCUUCCUUUUUUCAUUACUGUAUUUCUCGCUUUAUUCGUUUUUUUUCCUUCUUCUUUCAUCUCUUCCUUACUUACUUUUCUUCUUCAUUCAAUCUAAAGGCAUGAAAAUACCACAAAAACUACUUUCAAACAAUUUCUUAUACUUGUUUACUGCAACUGAAGCAUGCUUUUUUUGGGGAGGGAAACCACUGAGUUGCUACUUUUAGUCCUUAUGUAUCAGUGAACUAUUGCACGACUACAUAUGUAUUAACAACAAUCAGCUAUAACCUCCACUGUGCUCUCAUUGUCCUCUUUAAUCUUCUUUGUUUCAGCCUGUCUGCUGUAAAGAAAACAGUCAUGAACAAUGCCUGUACACUAACCUGUGCAUAUGUUAGCGUCUGUGCCGUGUGUGUGUUUGCACAUCUGCGCAUUUAACACUCAUCUUGCAAACUCGCCUCCUCAGCAGGAGCAGCUUCCUCAUGUAGAACUAGAAAAGUAGAUACACACACACACGCAAACAAAACCGUGUGUGUGUGUGUGUGUGUGUUUUCCCAUGUGUGUGCGAUCACAUGAAGAAGAGCGGGCGAUAAGUAUUUACCGGCUGACCAGUGUCUCGCUGACAGAUUGAGAUUGGGAUGCUUUCGGCACACGGAGGAUUUAUGGGCGCUUUGACGCCGCUUUCCUCCUAAAUUACAGCCGGGGCCGGGAACAAUGAGAUGGCCUGGGAAUCGGGUCUGAUGCUCUGAACCUCCCCUGGGGUUAACAGUCCCUGACUCAACCCUCCGCACUCUAUUUUACACCCCCGACCAGCAGCUCAUCCUCUUUUCCAGCUCAGAGAGAAGGAGGGAGGAGUAGAAAACAAUCCAGUAGGAGGCUGGAGAUGGGCCACCUACAUCGAUUUCACACCCGAGGCUCAGAUAAAGAGGAGAAAAUCAGCUGGUCCACCAUCAUGUGUGAUUCGGUGUCGGCGUGCGAGAACACAAACUGCACUGAGGUAGAGGAGGAUUUAGUAGCACGGUGAAAGCUGCUCGAUAAUCGUUGGAGCAUCACGCUGCUGCCAGUGCAGUCUGGAAAACGCUUCUUCGGGCUGAACAUAAGCAAAUAUACAUGAGUGUUGUGUGGAGAUGCUUACAUGGCUGUUUCUUUAAUACUAAUACAGAUUGUGAACCCACCUCCCCACAUGAAGUUGGAUUAAUCAUCAGCUUGUUUAGAAUAUAUUUGACAUAUUUUUUUAUCGUAAAUGUCUUUCUUUCUCUUUUUAUGUUACUUAGGAUUAUUUAAUUUUGUGUGUAUUUUUGACUGUUAAGCACCACAACACAAAUUCCUUGUAUGUGCAAACCUACUUGGCAAUAAACCUGGUUCUGGUUUGAUGUGCAAAGCCACCAUGGUCACCCUAACACUCUUCUUUGCAUAGAUCUCUGCAAAGAUGUGUAUCUUUGCAGGAGUAUAACUGUUCCAACUCUAGAUCUUACAUCUUAGAUCAGGUCUCAUUCUGAUAUAUUCUGAAGUCUCUUCUGGAUCAGAUCUUUCUUUUUUUGGAAAAUUAAUUUUUGCAUGUUGGGCUCUGGGAGGUUUUCCGAGGG
Long non-coding RNA from Thunnus maccoyii (southern bluefin tuna), 1722 nucleotides. RefSeq lists it as uncharacterized. NCBI's taxonomy places the organism in Eukaryota, Metazoa, Chordata, Actinopteri, Scombriformes, Scombridae. The transcript is spliced from 3 exons. The record is from RefSeq and is a predicted model, not a curated record.